UCUCCAUCGAAUCGAUUCAGCAGUGCAACACAGACUACAGCCGCUGAAGUUGGGGAAAAAAAGAUUUAAAUCAAUAAAAGCGAGAUACUCCAGUUUUUCUUCAUGAGAAAAGGAGCAGAGAGCUCCAUCAAGUCGGCCUUGCCCUAUAGAGACACAACACAGGAUUUAAGUCGUGUGUGCACAUGGUGUUUCCGAUCACUGUCGGGAUGUUUUGAAGCUCAGAUGAGCACUGCAGGAGCUCAUGGGCCACUCCCUCGUCCAGCUCAGUACUCCGGGUGAUGACUUUACCCAGAACCACCUGCUCAAACUGUGGUCGAAAGGAGUAGUCCACUGCUUUUUCUGUGACCACCACUGUCCCUGGAGCAAGACCUAGAGAAGACACCGGACACAACUUUAAAAUAUGGCCUUAUCAUGACAUCUAGAGUAAAGGACGAUGUAAGGGAAUGAACCAUUUACAAAAAAUCAUGCGAAGCUCUUACCAACACCACCAGAAGUUCCAAGGCGAAACAGGACCACAUCAUGGCACUGAGCAUGGUGCAGCAGUUUGAUGAGCUCAUGCAGCAUGAUGGAGAUGGAAGGGACACCCAUACCAUGCUGUGAUGGAAACAAGUGGGGUUAAAAUCAGUAAACCAGUAAUGCUUUAUCUGAAGUUCUUCCCCAUAGUAGUGUAUUUAUGUUCUGUAGAUCCUGGUUCUGUAAUACUCACACUUAUAGAGAGCACUGGUCCCACUUUAUACAUGCAGUAGCGGUCAGUUCCCUCACAGAUGUCACUAAUCUCCUCUGGGUUUCCAGACAGUUUCAGCUCCUGAUGGAUGAACUGGGCAAAGGCCUUCAUCCGAUUCGCACUGCCACCAACACACACAAACUACGGGGAAACAGACAAAAGGAACAUUGAAUGUGGAUUUCAAGACUUUGAAAAUAUAACCCAGGUUUUCUUUUCUUUUACUUCACACACCUUGAUAUCUCCAAACAUUUCUGGAAGGUUGUGAGUUUUGGUGCCUAGGUUGAAGUGGUAGAGAAUAUCCUCCUCCAUUGUAUCCAAGUAGGGAUUUUUCACCUGGACAAGUUGCCUGAGAGCAAUACAAGAUAUAAAAUGAACAAAUGGAAAACUCAAGAUAACUGUAAGUCAAGCUCUGGAUCACCUGAACACAAUUACAUUGGAUAUUUUAAGAAAAAAAUCAGUGCAAAUAUCCCAAAGACUUACUUGAUAUAGUCAUUGUGGUCAUUUCCCAUACAGUUGAGUAAAAUCGGUGCCAUGACUGCAGAUGAAGCUUUGCAAAAAAUCUAAUUUCAAACGUUUUCUAAAGUUUUCUGCUGUGAUGCGUCCAAAUACCUGUGAUAGCUGUUACCGAAUAAGAAUUGAGUCUGACUGCAGAGCUGAUAUAGUGGUGACCUCUGGCCUGACCACUGAUUGGUUCCAUAGAGAGGAGUUGCACUUGUCCUCCUCUCAAAAACAUCCCACUGCCUCAAAACAAACAGAGGAAUUUAAGUUACACAAUAACAAUAAAUGGUCAACUUUCAACGUGUCAAUGUACCUUCGAAAUGAAAACUGUUUCAGAGGCAAUGAAAACAACAUAUGUGAUGGACCCCCCCCCCCAACUAAAUCUGCAAAACAUUUGCCAGGAUCUUAAUAAUGUCUAAUCUGAAGCCAAUGAGUAAAGGACGUGUUAUGACAUAAAGCAAGGCGCGGUUCGAUAACCUCUGCCAUUGGGACACAAUACAUUGGCAUGUCAAAACAAUGACAAACAGAGGCAGAUUAAUGUAGAACCAACAUAAACUCAACAUUGUUUUAUUUAUUAUUUAUUGAGCAUUGUAUCAUUUGCUUAAAGAGCAUUUACAUAAAUGUAUUUAUUUAUAAAGUUAUUUGCUUUAAUGUUACAGUUUUAAGCAGAAAACGAUUCAAAUUCAUCACAGUCUGAGGGAAACAAAAGCAGCUUUUAAUACAAAAAAAUAUUAAAGAUUGCAUAAUAUUAUAACAUUUUUUUUCUAUUGAAACAGUUAAAAUUACAUAACUUAAAGCUGUUUUUAAAGAGUUACAUACACUGCAAAAAAAGUAACAUAAGAUGCCUUCGUUACUUGUAAAUAAAUAAAAUGUUUCAGCUUUAAUUCAAUAAAGAACUUUCACACUUAAGUCAAACCGCUGACAUAAUAGAACAAUAAGAACUCGAUGUGGCUCAGCAUGGAGUACAAAAAAAACUCUGUGUUGUUAAGAGAAUAGGUUGGAAGGAGGCUGCAACUGUUUGAGCAUGAACAUCCUUUUCCCACGCACUGGCAGUCAUCUAAUCUGUUGACACGGAAAUGUAUACAAGCAUGAGUCAUUAUCACGUCACUGACUAAUAAAUUCUACAUGAUACUGCCAAGAGUUAUCAUAAAUUGUCAAUGGCUGCAAUUUGAAAGCUUAACACCUCAAAAUGUGUGCUCAUCAUUUUCUCUAUCCACUUAUUGAGUCACAUAAAAUCAAUAAAACAGCUCGGCUCUACUUCCUUUUUACAUUGUUGAGGUGAAUUAUGACUGUCUGGUGAACAAGCAAGACUGGAAAAAGAAUAAUGUUGACCUGUAAGAGUGUGAUUUAGAUAAUGUUCAACUCACUUGAAAAAUCAGUGGUGGCUUUUGCUGGUUUGUCUUCUAAAUAACCAAAGCUCAGCAGCUUAGACAUAUUGACAGGAGAUGGUUUCUUGUCGAAAACCCUUGAGAGGGGGGAGACAAAAGGCAUAAAGACAAAAUAGAAAUACAAUUUGCAAAUGAUGCUGUUGUCGUUACAAAUAUUAUGUCAUGAUUAUAGUCAUGGCCACAAAGUGCGUCUUGCAUCAUCUAGGGACGCUAUGGCGACUUUGCGACUUGCAACAUUGUAGACGAACUCUGGCUACUCAUUACAGAAGUACAACAAACUGCACAGAGUCAACAAAUGUUUUUUACAACACCAGCCAGUCAGGACACUUGUCAUCUCAUUUUAAGUUCAAUGCUUUCAAAAACAAUUCCUCUAAAAGUCUAUCUCAGAAUUAGACAUGUCAUCUUGUUUGAAAAAAGCCAAACAUUGUGUUUGAUUAAUGUUUGUGUGUUCUAAAAUGUUCUUGUUUCAGGAAAUACAAAGCUUCUGUACUUUAUUUAAUCAUAUUUAAUAUCUCGCACCAAGAGUCAGAAUAAAUGAUUCAAUCAUC
Non-coding RNA from Labrus bergylta (ballan wrasse), 3158 nucleotides. The record is from RefSeq and is a predicted model, not a curated record. NCBI's taxonomy places the organism in Eukaryota, Metazoa, Chordata, Actinopteri, Labriformes, Labridae.